CCUACGGGAGGCUGCAGUGGGGAAUAUUGGACAAUGGGGGGAACCCUGAUCCAGCCAUGCCGCGUGUGUGAAGAAGGGCCUCGGGUUGUAAAGCACUUUCAGUGAGGAAGAACGCCUGGUGGUUAAUACCCAUCAGGAAAGACAUCACUCACAGAAGAAGCACCGGCUAACUCCGUGCCAGCAGCCGCGGUAAUACGGAGGGUGCGAGCGUUAAUCGGAAUUACUGGGCGUAAAGCGCGCGUAGGUGGCUUGAUAAGCCGGUUGUGAAAGCCCCGGGCUCAACCUGGGAACGGCAUCCGGAACUGUCAAGCUAGAGUGCAGGAGAGGAAGGUAGAAUUCCCGGUGUAGCGGUGAAAUGCGUAGAGAUCGGGAGGAAUACCAGUGGCGAAGGCGGCCUUCUGGACUGACACUGACACUGAGGUGCGAAAGCGUGGGUAGCAAACAGGAUUAGAUACCCGUGUAGUC
Molecule: ribosomal RNA, 465 nt
Filed under: Vreelandella stevensii
Lineage: Bacteria; Pseudomonadati; Pseudomonadota; Gammaproteobacteria; Oceanospirillales; Halomonadaceae
Description: partial 16S ribosomal RNA
Rfam family: Bacterial small subunit ribosomal RNA
Source: RNAcentral